Molecule: small nucleolar RNA, 92 nt
Organism: Ailuropoda melanoleuca (giant panda)
Lineage: Eukaryota; Metazoa; Chordata; Mammalia; Carnivora; Ursidae
Gene: U3
Rfam family: Small nucleolar RNA U3
About the family: Small nucleolar RNAs (snoRNAs) are involved in the processing and modification of rRNA in the nucleolus. There are two main classes of snoRNAs: the box C/D class, and the box H/ACA class. U3 snoRNA is a member of the box C/D class.
Source: Ensembl
AAGACUGUACUUUCAGGGACAAUUUCUGUAGUUUGUUACUAGAGAAGUUUCUCUGAAUGUGUAAAGCACCAGAUAAAUAUUUGCCAAAUAUU